Long non-coding RNA from Budorcas taxicolor (takin), 1133 nucleotides. RefSeq lists it as uncharacterized. The record is from RefSeq and is a predicted model, not a curated record. Lineage: Eukaryota; Metazoa; Chordata; Mammalia; Artiodactyla; Bovidae. The transcript is spliced from 5 exons.
CCACCCCCAGUGAAAUCUUGGCACCCUGCAAGUGCUCCGUUUCAGCCAGAGAUCCCAGAACCAGCCGCUGUCCCCUGGCAGAAGAGGCCCAGUGCUGAGCCCUGGGCAAGUGUCUGCAGACAUCGCCACCCCUCCUCCCUUACUAGUUUCCCUUACCAACAGAAACCCUUUCCUUUUGCCACCCAAACUAGGUCGCCUCCAAAAGUUUCUCACGAGCUUAGAAAAGAAGAAUGAAAGACAACUCUUAACACAGAAGAGCCCACAAAAGCUACAGCAGCACCAGGGGUGAUGAAGCAGCAACAGACCCAGGUCUGCAAGACAGAGCCGGAAACAACUCCUCCCAUCAUUCAUGGGAGAAAAUGAAGCUCUCUACUGGCCUCUAUCAGAGAAGCUAAAAAUUUCCCUCUUUUCUGCAAGUGUCCCAAACCCCAUGACUCUUAUUUCCAGGUAGAGAGACUGAUUUGAAGAACUACACGUAGCCACAAUACCUGCUUUUUACAUCUAUUGAGUCUGGAUGGUGGAAGUCCUAGAGUACUCUGCUACUGUGCAUCUUUUCCCAACUCCAAGUUCAGUGACUUCCAGUUGACAGCUUGAAAGUGGACGUGGUGGCAAUAUUUACACCACAGAGGGAUCCUGUUUGGAAGGUCAGGGACAAUGACAACUGAGAAGAAAAGGCAGAAGUGGAGAAGAGUGAGUGAACGCUGGGAGCAUCCAGAAUCCUUCACCUUGAAUGAGACGACACGCUUCUGUACUGAGUUUAUCAAUCAGUUAUGGCCCAGGACUUAGGGUUAAUAUUUGGAACACAUACACUUGGGAAUUCUUCCUAAUGACAUGAAACUCUUAUUAGUCCUUACGAGAACCUACCUUCCUAAAUCCUCUUAUACAGUGAUGAGAGAACAGAGCCUAUUGUCAGCAAUGUCUGCUGGAGUACCUUUUGUCUCAUAGCUUGUAAUCACUUCCAGACCGGGGUAUAUUUAUGAUUUACAUAAUGUUAUAGAAGAAGAGGUCUUAAGGGUUUUUUCCUCUAAAUCUUUCUGAAUUAUUAUUUUAGACUCAUUGCCAGGUUUUUUUUUUCUUUUAAGGAGGAAGUUGAUGAACUUUUAAACAUGUCAUUACAUGCUCCGAAAUAGCAA